CUUCGGCCGUUAGUAGAGCGGCGGACGGGUGAGUAACACGUGGGUAACCUACCCUCGGGUGGGGAAUAACUCAGGGAAACCUGGGCUAAUUCCGCAUAACGUCCAGAGCUCGUAAGGGCAUUGGAUCAAAGCUGGGGACCCUUCGGGGCCUGGCGCCUGUGGAUGGGCCCGCGUCCGAUUAGCUUGUUGGUGAGGUAACGGCUCACCAAGGCUUCGAUCGGUAGCCGGCCUAAGAGGGCGGACGGCCACACUGGGACUGAGAUACGGCCCAGACUCCUACGGGAGGCAGCAGUGGGGAAUUUUUGGCAAUGGGGAAACCUUGACCAAGCAACGCCGCGUGGAGGAUGAAGACCCUCGGGUCGUAAACUCCUGUCGGAGGGGACGAAAGCGGUAGCAGUUAAUACCUGCAAUCGUUGACGGUACCCUACGAGGAAGCCCCGGCUAACUCCGUGCCAGCAGCCGCGGUAAUACGGGGGGGGCAAGCGUUGUUCGGAAUUACUGGGCGUAAAGGGCGCGUAGGCGGCCUGACAAGUCCUACGUGAAAUCCCACAGCU
Molecule: ribosomal RNA, 554 nt
Filed under: uncultured bacterium
Lineage: Bacteria
Description: bacterial SSU rRNA
Rfam family: Bacterial small subunit ribosomal RNA
Source: RNAcentral